CCGGCCGAACGGCAUCGACGGGACGCUCAAGAACGUGACCCCGGCGCUGCACCCGGAGAUGAUCCUGGCGGCGACCAACAACGGCGACAUCGUGGACGCCUAAGCAAAGCAAUGAGCCACGGACACCAAGGCGUACGUACGCUGGUGUUUGGGGGCGCAAGAUCAAUAAGAUGGUUCGGUGAAACGGAGGAUGCUUAGGGACGAGGGCUUGUCUUUGUGAUUUGUC
Molecule: long non-coding RNA, 226 nt
Filed under: Triticum aestivum (bread wheat)
Lineage: Eukaryota; Viridiplantae; Streptophyta; Magnoliopsida; Poales; Poaceae
Description: long non-coding RNA (TAES_LNC015039)
Source: RNAcentral